CCGUACCCGGAGCGCUUCCAGGUCCCGGCGGCUUCGGCCCGCCUGGUGAACGCGGCACGGGCCGCGGGCGGCCGGAUCAUCGCCGUCGGUACGACC
Molecule: transfer RNA, 96 nt
Filed under: Streptomyces sp. YIM 130001
Lineage: Bacteria; Bacillati; Actinomycetota; Actinomycetes; Kitasatosporales; Streptomycetaceae
Description: tRNA-Arg
Source: RNAcentral